Acanthosepion pharaonis is the source of this 101-nucleotide non-coding RNA. The record is from the annotation of a GenBank genome assembly. Lineage: Eukaryota; Metazoa; Mollusca; Cephalopoda; Sepiida; Sepiidae.
GGCAUUGAAACAUCGGAUCUCUUAAGAUCACCGAAGUUAAGCAACGUCGAACCCGGUCUCUACCUUGAUGGGUGAUUGCUCGAGAAUACCAGAUGCUGUGA